Pimephales promelas (fathead minnow) is the source of this 1680-nucleotide non-coding RNA. The record is from RefSeq and is a predicted model, not a curated record. Lineage: Eukaryota; Metazoa; Chordata; Actinopteri; Cypriniformes; Leuciscidae.
CGAGCAUCCUUGCGUCAAAUGCGGAAUUUAUGCGUGCAUAUAGCCCAUUGGGUGUAUUCCAUGUUAUGUUGUUGUGUCUAACCCACAGAAAAGGUUACUCUCCAGGUUUGUUAGCACAAAUGCCUGGGUUUGAUUCACUGAUUCAUAUUGUUUUGAAUUCUUGCCAUCACAAAUAUUAGCAUCUAUAGCAGAAUUGUACAUUCAGGAAGAAGCUACAUUUCAGCUUCAUCACAAUAUCAGUUUAAUAAGAAAAAAAUACUGUUCUGUUAAAUUUAGCAUCAAUGAAUCUUUAAACAAUGCUACAGUAGUAGUUUGUUUUUUAUCUGAUCACAUGCUUUGCAUCAAGUGAGACUUGUGGUUUUGUUGUUUUGUGCAUGUGCUUGCCAGAUAUAGCUAUUCAUUUGCAUUGUGGUAUAUGACUGAAGGUGCAGGAUUACCAGAUCAGAGAAACAAUGCAUUUUGGAUCAUUGUUACUUGUUUGUUUGUUUUUUGGUCUCGGAUUUUCUGCAGUACAAGUAAAACAGUACUUUCAAAAGAAAUAUCAAGUAGGUGAUUCAGCACUUCUCUACUGUAACCUUACCAGUGACAAAGAAACGGUUAGAAGAUGUACAAUGAUGUGGCAGAUUUACGAUGAAAAUGCAAAGAUCCUUGUACACAUCACAAAAAUACCAAAAUAUCAACAAAGAGUCAACAUUAAAUCCCAAGACACUUUCACCUCGAUGACAAUAAAAGACCUGAUGGUUACAGACAUAGAAAAGAUAUUGUGUUCAGCUGUGUGUUUUGUUAAUGAGGAGAUCCAAUACAUCGCCGACAAUGGGACAGUUCUAACAGUUACAGAACCAAAACCAGAACUAAAACCUGAACUUCAAUGGUUGAAAUACCUUAUUUUCUCCAUUAAUCUUUUGAUUUUCACUAUUGCACUGGGAAUACUUAUUUUCAUUACACGACAAAGGAGAGGCGAAAGGAGAAGGUGUAAAUGACUGGAAAACCAUGUUUGGUGCAAAUACAUUAAUUUUGAACGAUAACAUCAAGUAAUCACCCUUUUUUUAUGGAACUUCAUUAGGCUUACUAUGUUAACCCUCAUGUUAACCCUUCUGUUGAGGUUAAUGUUUCUAAUGUUUAGAGUCCCAGAGAGUCCAAUGAUGGACAGUACUCUACAUGUUAAGAAGUUUACAUACACUUGAUUCUUAAUUAUGUGUAAAACAUAUUAAUAUUCAAGCAUAUGUAAACUUUCGGGCUGUUUAAAAAAGUUUAAAAAAUCAACGAAAUUUGAAAUAGCUUCAUUAGUUUGGUAAUAAAUAAAUAAAACAUGCAUUUUGCAUCAUGCAAACAACAUUUUUAAGAUCCCUCUUUGUAGGCCUAUUUAAUAAGAAUUUCAAAUCAAUCUAAUUUUAGCACAUGAACAAACAUAUUUGUCCAGCAAAAACUAUAAUACAAUGUAUUUUCCUUUAUUUCAAUAGUAUAUAUAGUCUGCUUUGUCUCUGCUUGAUCAAACAAAGAAAUAAUAAGCACUGCCGUCUAUUAGUCUGAAUGGCACGCAACGUUGCAUUCAUGAAUCCUUUUUUUGUUAUUGUAAUUUGUAGCUGUGUCGCAUGAUAUAUUUGAUAUACUCUAUGCUUGUAUUUCUCUGGUGGGAAUAAACAGCAGCCAUAAAAUCCUUAUGAGAGUCGCUUGCUUUAA